RNAcentral lists this ribosomal RNA (593 nucleotides) under Lingulaulax polyedra. Its description in RNAcentral is "Lingulodinium polyedra partial Eukaryotic large subunit ribosomal RNA". It matches the Rfam family "Eukaryotic large subunit ribosomal RNA", at positions 1 to 668 of the family's 3401-position model. The record is from RNAcentral. Lineage: Eukaryota; Dinophyceae; Gonyaulacales; Lingulodiniaceae.
AUCUCAGCUUAAGCAAGAGGACCCGCCGAAUUUAAGCAUAUAAUUAAGCGGAGGAAAAGAAACUAACCAGGAUUCCCUCAGUAAGGGCGACUGAAGCGGGAAGUGCUCAGGAUGUGAAUCUGCGCCUUGUUGCGCCGAAUUGUGGUCUGUCGACUGUGGCAUUACUGGCCGGGCCAAGUCCCUUGGAACAGGGCAGCUGAGAGGGUGAGACUCCCGUCCGCCUGGCUGGGUGAGCCGCAAGUCAACGAGUCGAGUUGUUUGGGAUUGCAGCUCAAAGUGGGUGGUAAAUUCCAUCUAAAGCUAAAUAUUGGUGGGAGACCGAUAGCGUACAAGUACCGUGAGGGAAAGAUGCAAAGAACUUUGAAAAGAGAGUUAAAGAGUACCUGAAAUUGCUGAAAGGGAAGCGAAGGAAACCAGUGUCGGCUUGAUCAUAUUUCCCUGUCCGCUUGCGGUUUGGGCGCUGUGUCCGGCCUCGGUUGUUCUUGGUUGGGUCUGCUGGAAGAGCGCGGUGAGAGUUGAUCUCCGUUGCUAGCAGUGGUCCUGACUGAGGAGGACGAAAUGGUUUUCUUUACCCCGUCUUGAAACACGGACCA